This 437-nucleotide ribosomal RNA is filed under the name uncultured Oscillospiraceae bacterium. Its description in RNAcentral is "partial 16S ribosomal RNA". It matches the Rfam family "Bacterial small subunit ribosomal RNA", at positions 341 to 792 of the family's 1533-position model. Lineage: Bacteria; Bacillati; Bacillota; Clostridia; Eubacteriales; Oscillospiraceae. The record is from RNAcentral.
ACGGGAGGCAGCAGUGGGGAAUAUUGGGCAAUGGGCGCAAGCCUGACCCAGCAACGCCGCGUGAAGGAAGAAGGCUUUCGGGUUGUAAACUUCUUUUAUCAGGGACGAAGAAAAUGACGGUACCUGAAGAAUAAGCCACGGCUAACUAUGUGCCAGCAGCCGCGGUAAUACGUAGGCGGCAAGCGUAGUCCGGAUUUACUGGGUGUAAAGGGCGCGUAGGCGGGAUGACAAGUCAGGUGUGAAAUCCAUGGGCUUCACCCAUAAGCUGCACUUGAUACUGCCAUUCUUGAGUGUCGGAGAGGUAGAUGGAAUUUCUCGUGUAGCGGUGAAAUGCGUAGAUAUUAGGAGGAACACCAGUGGCGAAGGCGAUCUACUGGACGAUAACUGACGCUGAGGCGCGAAAGCGUGGGGAGCAAACAGGAUUAGAUACCCUGGUA